Molecule: non-coding RNA, 136 nt
Organism: Triticum aestivum (bread wheat)
Lineage: Eukaryota; Viridiplantae; Streptophyta; Magnoliopsida; Poales; Poaceae
Source: Rfam
UAUAUACUCCCUCCGUCCAAAAAUACUUGUCAUCAGAAUGAACAAAAAAAGGAUGUAUCCCGAACUAAAAUACGUCUAGAUACAUCCCCUUAUAUCCAUUUUGAUGACAAGUAUUUCCGGACAGAGGGAGUACUAA